RNAcentral lists this transfer RNA (73 nucleotides) under Pseudomonadota bacterium. RNAcentral describes it as "tRNA-Met". It matches the Rfam family "tRNA". Rfam says of the family: Transfer RNA (tRNA) molecules are approximately 80 nucleotides in length. The record is from RNAcentral. RNAcentral also lists the same sequence under 1 other name. Lineage: Bacteria; Pseudomonadati; Pseudomonadota.
GGCGGCGUAGCUCAGCUGGUAGAGCAAGGGAUUCAUAAGCCCUGGGUCGACGGUUCGAGUCCGUCCGCCGCCA